GAUGAACGCUGGCGGCGUGCCUAAUACAUGCAAGUCGAGCGAACAGACGAGGAGCUUGCUCCUCUGACGUUAGCGGCGGACGGGUGAGUAACACGUGGAUAACCUACCUAUAAGACUGGGAUAACUUCGGGAAACCGGAGCUAAUACCGGAUAAUAUAUUGAACCGCAUGGUUCAAUAGUGAAAGACGGUUUUGCUGUCACUUAUAGAUGGAUCCGCGCCGCAUUAGAUAGUUGGUAAGGUAACGGCUUACCAAGGCGACGAUGCGUAGCCGACCUGAGAGAGUGGUCGGCCACACUGGAACUGAGACACGGUCCAGACUCCUACGGGAGGCAGCAGUAGGGAAUCUUCCGCAAUGGGCGAAAGCCUGACGCAGCAACGCCGCGUGAGUGAUGAAGGUCUUCGGAUCGUAAAACUCUGUUAUUAGGGAAGAACAAAUGUGUAAGUAACUAUGCACGUCUUGACGGUACCUAAUCAGAAAGCAACGGCUAACUACGUG
RNAcentral lists this ribosomal RNA (497 nucleotides) under uncultured bacterium. RNAcentral describes it as "partial 16S ribosomal RNA". It matches the Rfam family "Bacterial small subunit ribosomal RNA", at positions 28 to 507 of the family's 1533-position model. The record is from RNAcentral.